CUACCCCAGAAUCUGGAAUAACCUGCCGAAAGGCGGGCUAAUACUGGAUAGAGCGAUGGAAUCCGUAAUUGGGUUUUUCGGGAAAGGGAGCUCGCAAGAGCCUUCGUUUUGGGAUGAGCCUGCGUCUCAUUAGCUAGUUGGUGAGGUAAAAGCUCACCAAGGCUUUGAUGGGUAGCUGGUCUGAGAGGAUGAUCAGCCACACUGGAACUGAAACACGGUCCAG
Molecule: ribosomal RNA, 223 nt
Filed under: uncultured bacterium
Lineage: Bacteria
Description: partial 16S ribosomal RNA
Rfam family: Bacterial small subunit ribosomal RNA
Source: RNAcentral